UACGUAGGGGGCAAGCGUUGUCCGGAAUUAUUGGGCGUAAAGCGCGUGUAGGCGGCAGGGCAAGUCGGAUGUGAAAUCCCGUGGCUCAACCACGGAAGUGCACCCGAAACUGCCCAGCUAGAGUCUCGGAGAGGAAGGUGGAAUGCUUGGUGUAGAGGUGAAAUUCGUAGAUAUCAAGCGGAACACCGGUGGCGAAGGCGGCCUUCUGGACGAUGACUGACGCUGAGACGCGAAAGCGUGGGGAGCAAACAGG
Molecule: ribosomal RNA, 253 nt
Filed under: uncultured bacterium
Lineage: Bacteria
Description: partial 16S ribosomal RNA
Rfam family: Bacterial small subunit ribosomal RNA
Source: RNAcentral